This 253-nucleotide ribosomal RNA is filed under the name uncultured bacterium. RNAcentral describes it as "partial 16S ribosomal RNA". It matches the Rfam family "Bacterial small subunit ribosomal RNA", at positions 524 to 776 of the family's 1533-position model. The record is from RNAcentral.
UACAGAGGUCUCAAGCGUUGUUCGGAUUCAUUGGGCGUAAAGGGUGCGUAGGCGGCGCGGUAAGUCGGGUGUGAAAUCUCGGGGCUUAACUCCGAAACUGCAUUCGAUACUGCCGUGCUUGAGGACUGGAGAGGAGACUGGAAUUUACGGUGUAGCGGUGAAAUGCGCAGAUAUCGGGAGGAACACCAGUAGCGAAGGCGGCUCGCUGGGCCACACCUGACGCUGAGACGCGAAAGCUAGGGGAGCGAACAGG